GACGAACGCUGGCGGCGUGCUUAACACAUGCAAGUCGAACGGAAAGGCCCUGCUUUUGUGGGGUGCUCGAGUGGCGAACGGGUGAGUAACACGUGAGUAACCUGCCCUUGACUUUGGGAUAACUUCAGGAAACUGGGGCUAAUACCGGAUAGGAGCUCUUGCUGCAUGGUGGGGGUUGGAAAGUUUCGGCGGUUUGGGAUGGACUCGCGGCUUAUCAGCUUGUUGGUGGGGUAGUGGUUUACCAAGGCUUUGACGGGUAGCCGGCCUGAGAGGGUGACCGGCGACAUUGGGACUGAGAUACGGCCCAGACUCGUACGGGAGGCAGCAGUGGGGAAUAUUGCACAAUGGGCGGAAGCCUGAUGCAGCAACGCCGCGUGCGGGAUGACGGCCUUCGGGUUGUAAACCGCUUUCGCCUGUAACGAAGCGUGAGUGACGGUAAUGGGUAAAGAAGCACCGGCUAACUACGUG
Molecule: ribosomal RNA, 468 nt
Filed under: uncultured bacterium
Lineage: Bacteria
Description: partial 16S ribosomal RNA
Rfam family: Bacterial small subunit ribosomal RNA
Source: RNAcentral